GAUGAACGCUAGCGGCAGGCCUAACACAUGCAAGUCGAGGGGUAACGUGAGUGCUUGCACUUGACGACGACCGGCGCACGGGUGCGGAACGCGUAUGGAACCUACCUUUAUCAGGGGGAUAGCCCAUGGAAACGUGGAUUAAUACCCCAUAGUAUUAUUUUAUUGCAUGAUAGAAUAAUUAAAGAAUUUCGGAUAGAGAUGGCCAUGCGUAUCAUUAGCUAGUAGGCGAGGUAACGGCUCACCUAGGCGACGAUGAUUAGGGGUCCUGAGAGGGAGAUCCCCCACACUGGUACUGAGACACGGACCAGACUCCUACGGGAGGCAGCAGUGAGGAAUAUUGGGCAAUGGAGGCAACUCUGACCCAGCCAUGCCGCGUGCAGGAAGACGGCCCUAUGGGUUGUAAACUGCUUUUAUACAGGAAGAACACCACCCACGUGUGGGUGACUGACGGUACUGUAAGAAUAAGGACCGGCUAACUCCGUG
This 483-nucleotide ribosomal RNA is filed under the name uncultured bacterium. Its description in RNAcentral is "bacterial SSU rRNA". It matches the Rfam family "Bacterial small subunit ribosomal RNA", at positions 28 to 507 of the family's 1533-position model. The record is from RNAcentral.